Long non-coding RNA from Pseudopipra pipra, 1107 nucleotides. RefSeq lists it as uncharacterized. The record is from RefSeq and is a predicted model, not a curated record. Lineage: Eukaryota; Metazoa; Chordata; Aves; Passeriformes; Pipridae. The transcript has 6 exons.
CCUGCAGCCAAUAUGGCCCAGAGCACAUGGCAGGGAAAGCUGUGUGGCUAGGCUGUCAAUAAGGUCUGCCUGGUUGCCCACCCACACUGUGCCCCCUAAUUGUCUGUGGCACCCCACACUUUGGCAAGUGGGACCAUGAGUGGUCAGUAAACCAAAAGUCCCGCCUAGAGGGAGUGGCCACAACAGCCAAAGUCUAUAAACAGACACACAAGAGGUUUCCAUAUUGCCUUGGCCUGUAGUUCUCCUUGCCAGGCAACUUGUCACCUUUUAAAUGAAGAAACAUGCUUGAGUCAACUUAGAACAUUUAUACCUAAAUGACAUUCAUGUACAGAGAGACGUUCACGUAUGUAGCAGCAUUAUAAAUGCUGCAUAUUUCAUUGGAACUCCAUGAAUCACUGACAGUUCGCUUUUAAAGGUUCUGCUUCACUACAGAAAGGAAGGAAGCAAGCAAGGAAGGAAGACCCAGACACCAAAAACCAGGAAUAAAAAAACCUUUAUUCUCAUCCCAUUGACACUUAGAGCUCCACUAACUUUAACACGUUAUUCUGAUGUACACCAGAACAAGAGAAGAACCAAAUUAAAUGUACCUCCAACUAGAGUAAUCUUGGGCUUAGCAAGAGGCUUGGAGGAGAGACAGCCAGGACAGCCAACAACAACUGACCCAAAUGAUAUUCCAUAUCAUAUAACAUUGUUCUCAGCAAUAAAACUGAGAGUUUUUCCAAGCUUCCCUUCCAAUUCUCUCCUCCAUUCUGGUACAUGGAUUGAGUGACCCCAUGGGGGCUUAGCUGCCAGCCGGGGUCAGCCCAGAGGUAGAAAAUGGUUCAGAUUUUUGUGGAAGCCAAAAGCUGAUGACAUUUGAGAUGAUUACCUCUGCACUAGAUGAUUUAUGCUUACUUUACGCUGAAUGGAAAGAAGCAGAGACUGCUAGGACACUUCAUAUGAUUCAUAAGAUCAAUGCAGGUCCUGUCUUUCUGUGUGGUGGCAGAAUAAUACAGUAUAGAAGACACUGGAGUGGCUUCUCUAUCCAGACCAACUUAAGACUUUUCAGGGAAGAUCUUGAUGUAAAGUAUGAUAUAAAAUAUUUUCAUAAAUUAAAGCUUUAUUACA